Molecule: non-coding RNA, 149 nt
Filed under: Veillonella caviae
Lineage: Bacteria; Bacillati; Bacillota; Negativicutes; Veillonellales; Veillonellaceae
Source: RNAcentral
AGAAUUUAGGUGUUUUAUACUUAAUAGAGAAGUUGGUAUAAGCCAACACGGUCACGCCGCUGUAAUGUGGAGCAAGCCUCAAGAAUGUCACUGGGAAACUGGGAAGGCGAGGGAGCGAUGAAACAGAGUCAGAAGAACUGCCUAGAUUC